CCUACGGGUGGCUGCAGUGAGGAAUCUUGGUCAAUGGCCGGAAGGCUGAACCAGCCAUGCCGCGUGAAGGUCAGUGCCCUAUGGGCGUUAAACCUCUUUUGUGCGGGAGCAAUAAUGGUCACGUGUGGCCAGACGAGAGUACCGUACGAAUAAGCAUCGGCUAACUCCGUGCCAGCAGCGGCGGUCAAACGGGGGAUGCAAGCGUUAUCCGGAUUUAUUGGGUUUAAAGGGUGCGUAGGCUGGGAGGUAAGGCAGCGGGGGAAUGCCCCCGCUCAACGGGGUGAAGUGCCAUUGAUACUGCCUGGCUGGAGUGCGGAUGCGGUAGGAGGAAUGUGUGGUGUAGCGGUGAAAUGCAUAGAUAUCGCGCAGAACACCGAUUGCGAAGGCAGCUCACGAAUCCGCGAUUGACGCUGAUGCACGAAAGCGUGGGUAUCAAACAGGAUUAGAUACCCCAGUAGUC
Molecule: ribosomal RNA, 460 nt
Filed under: uncultured bacterium
Lineage: Bacteria
Description: partial 16S ribosomal RNA
Rfam family: Bacterial small subunit ribosomal RNA
Source: RNAcentral